RNAcentral lists this ribosomal RNA (256 nucleotides) under uncultured bacterium. Its description in RNAcentral is "partial 16S ribosomal RNA". It matches the Rfam family "Bacterial small subunit ribosomal RNA", at positions 793 to 1055 of the family's 1533-position model. The record is from RNAcentral.
GUCCACGCCGUAAACGAUGGAUACUAGCUGUUGGGGGUAACUUCAGUGGCUAAGCGAAAGUGAUAAGUAUCCCACCUGGGGAGUACGUUCGCAAGAAUGAAACUCAAAGGAAUUGACGGGGCCCGCACAAGCGGUGGAGCAUGUGGUUUAAUUCGAUGAUACGCGAGGAACCUUACCAAGGCUUAAAUGUAGUUUGACCGAUUUGGAAACAGAUCUUUCGCAAAGACAAAAUUACAAGGUGCUGCAUGGUUGUCGU